RNAcentral lists this long non-coding RNA (910 nucleotides) under Homo sapiens (human). RNAcentral describes it as "non-protein coding lnc-SLC17A9-6:1". Lineage: Eukaryota; Metazoa; Chordata; Mammalia; Primates; Hominidae. The record is from RNAcentral.
GAGAUGCAUGGCUGUGAGGUGCUGCCUCCGCCUCUGAGGCUGGCGAUAGGCUGGAUUCAGACACAGCUCGAGCCGCUCACCCUCCACGUCCUGCUUAGGAGGAGUGCGGGGCCGGCUAAAUCCCCAAUGCCCAGGGCCCAGGGGCAUCCCAUCCAUAGCCUCAAGGUCCCUGGCUUCCCCUGGGGAUGGGGCUGUCGCACCUGUGUCCUCCCAGUUCCGAGGUACCAUUGAUACACACACAGGGGUCCCUGGGGGAGUUUCCUAACUCCUCUUCUGGAUGAAUGAAUGAAUAGAUUAAUGGAUGAAUUGAGUAGAUAGAUGAAUUGAUGGAUGGAUGAUGGAUGGAUAAAUGAAUGGAUGAUGGAUGAAUAGAUUAAUAGAUGAAUGAAUGAGUGGAUGGAUGGAUAGAUGGGUGAAUGCAUGGAUGGAUCAUGGAUGAUGGAUGGAUGACAGAUGCAUGGAAGGAUAGAUGAAUGAAAGAAUGGGUGAAUGGAUUAAUAGAUGAAUGAAUGAGUGGGUGGAUGGAUAGAUGGGUGAAUGCAUGGAUGGAACAUGGAUGAUGGAUGGAUGACAGAUGCAUGGAAGGAUAGAUGAAUGAAAGAAUGGGUGAAUGGAUUAAUAGAUGAAUGAAUGAGUGGGUGGAUGGAUAGAUGGGUGAAUGCAUGGAUGGAUCAUGGAUGAUGGAUGGAUGACAGAUGCAUGGAAGGAUAGAUGAAUGAAUGAAUGGGUGAAUGAAUUAAUGGAUGGAUGAAUGGAUGACAGGCUCUCCAUGAGCCGCUCUGCUCUCCUCCAUGGCCUCCUGCUCACUGGCCCCUAUAUCUCACAUCCUACUUCCAGUUUAAUGGAGACAAGAGUGUCCUCCCCAACCCAAGUUCUCACCCCCAUCCCUUCCUCCCUCAGACCCACCUGG